UACGUAGGGGGCUAGCGUUGUCCGGAUUUAUUGGGCGUAAAGAGCGUGUAGGCGGCCAGGUAGGUCCGGUGUGAAAACUCGAGGCUUAACCUCGAGAUGUCAUCGGAAACCAUCUGGCUAGAGUCCGGAAGAGGAAAGUGGAAUUCCAGGUGUAGCGGUGAAAUGCGUAGAUAUCUGGAGGAACACCGGUGGCGAAGGCGGCAUCCUGGACCAUUACUGACACUGAAAAGCGAAAGCCAGGGGAGCAAACGGG
This 253-nucleotide ribosomal RNA is filed under the name uncultured bacterium. Its description in RNAcentral is "partial 16S ribosomal RNA". It matches the Rfam family "Bacterial small subunit ribosomal RNA", at positions 524 to 776 of the family's 1533-position model. The record is from RNAcentral.